This 493-nucleotide non-coding RNA is filed under the name Loasa cf. insons 1391. RNAcentral describes it as "partial tRNA-Leu". It matches the Rfam family "Group I catalytic intron", at positions 37 to 253 of the family's 253-position model. Rfam says of the family: Group I catalytic introns are large self-splicing ribozymes. They catalyse their own excision from mRNA, tRNA and rRNA precursors in a wide range of organisms. Lineage: Eukaryota; Viridiplantae; Streptophyta; Magnoliopsida; Cornales; Loasaceae. The record is from RNAcentral.
CCUACUAAGUGAUCACUUUCAAAUUCAGAGAAACCCUGGAAUUAAUCAAAACGGGCAAUCCUGAGCCAAAUCCUGUUUUCCGAAAACAAACAAAAGUUCAGAAAGCAAAAAUAAAAAAAAAAAGGAUAGGUGCAGAGACUCAACGGAAGCUAUUCUAACAAAUAGAGUUGACUGCGUUGCGUUGUUAGAGGAAUCCUUUCAGCCAAACUUCAGAAAGGGUGAAGAUAAACCUAUAUACAUACGUAUAUGUACUGAAAUAUUAUAGCAAAUGAUUAAUGACGACCCAAAUCUGUAUCUCUAUUUUUUGAUAUGAAAAAAUAGAAGAGAAGAAUUGUUUUGAAUCGAUUCAAAAUUGAAGAAAGAAUCGAAUAUUCAUUGAUCAAAUCAUUCACUCCACAGUCUGAUAGAUCUUUUGAAGAACUGAUUAAUCGGACGAGAAUAAAGAUAGAGUCCCAUUCCACAUGUCAAUACCGACAACAAUGAAAUUUAUAGU